RNAcentral lists this ribosomal RNA (500 nucleotides) under uncultured Glomeromycotina. RNAcentral's name for it is "partial small subunit ribosomal RNA". It matches the Rfam family "Eukaryotic small subunit ribosomal RNA", at positions 591 to 1092 of the family's 1831-position model. The record is from RNAcentral. Lineage: Eukaryota; Fungi; Glomeromycota.
CCAAUAGCGUAUAUUAAAGUUGUUGCAGUUAAAAAGCUCGUAGUUGAAUUUCGAGAUCAGUACGUUGGUCGUGCCUUCGGUACGUACUGGCGUUAUUGGUUUCUCCCUUCUGAAGAACCGCGAUGUCAUUCAUUUGGUGUGUCGGGGAAUCAGGACUGUUACUUUGAAAAAAUUAGAGUGUUUAAAGCAGGCUCGCGCUUGAAUACAUUAGCAUGGAAUAAUGAAAUAGGACGUUUGAUUCUAUUUUGUUGGUUUCUAGGAUCGACGUAAUGAUUAAUAGGGAUAGUUGGGGGCAUUAGUAUUCAAUUGUCAGAGGUGAAAUUCUUGGAUUUAUUGAAGACUAACUACUGCGAAAGCAUUUGCCAAGGAUGUUUUCAUUAAUCAAGAACGAAAGUUAGGGGAUCGAAGACGAUCAGAUACCGUCGUAGUCUUAACCAUAAACUAUGCCGACUAGGGAUCGGAUGAUGUUAAUUUUUUAAUGACUCAUUCGGCGCCUUACG